GACCGUUCCGAGGGGUGUUCCGCAAGGAGCUGAGAUGCCGCGAAGCGGCGACCCUUUGAACCUGAUCCGGGUCAUGCCGGCGAAGGGACAGGGACCAGUUAUUCCC
Molecule: non-coding RNA, 106 nt
Filed under: Rugositalea oryzae
Lineage: Bacteria; Pseudomonadati; Pseudomonadota; Alphaproteobacteria; Hyphomicrobiales; Nitrobacteraceae
Also listed under: 1 other name
Description: Rhodoplanes sp. Z2-YC6860 TPP riboswitch aptamer (THI element)
Rfam family: TPP riboswitch aptamer (THI element)
About the family: Vitamin B(1) in its active form thiamin pyrophosphate (TPP) is an essential coenzyme that is synthesised by coupling of pyrimidine and thiazole moieties in bacteria.
Source: Rfam by way of RNAcentral